UGAAUACGAGACGCUACGGCGUCGAAGCAGUCUAUGUCAGACUUCCAAGAAAAGCUCGCAAUGUCAUAAACAAAUAAUGCCUGUACCAUAACCGACACAGGUGGGUAGGUAGAGUAUACUAAGGGGCGCGAGAUAACUCUCUCUAAGGAACUCGGCAAAAUGACUCCGUAACUUCGGGAGAAGGAGUGCCUUAUUUAUAAGGUUGCAAUAACAAGAUCCAAGCAACUGUUUAUCAAAAACACAGGUCUCCGCUAAGUCGUAAGACGAUGUAUGGGGGCUGACGCCUGCCCAGUGCCAGAAGGUUAAAGAAGUUGGUUAGCAUUCGCGAAGCUGAUAACUGAAGCCCUGGUGAACGGCGGCCGUAACGAUAACGGUCCUAAGGUAGCGAAAUUCCUUGUCGGGUAAGUUCCGACCCGCACGAAAGGCGUAAUGAUUUGGAUACUGUCUCGGAGAGGGGCUCGGUGAAAUAGACUUGUCUGUGAAGAUGCGGACUACCUGCACCUGGACAGAAAGACCCUAUGAAGCUUUACUGUAACUUGAAAUUGAAAUUGGACUUUAUUUGCGCAGCAUAGGUGGGAGGCGUUGAGAGUAUUCUUGCGGGAAUAUUGGAGCCAUCAGUGAGAUACCACUCUUGUAAUGUUAGAUUUCUAACUUUGUAUCAUUAUCUGGUCAAAGAACAGUUUCAGGCGGGCAGUUUGACUGGGGCGGUCGCCUCCCAAACGGUAACGGAGGCGUACAAAGGUUUCCUCUGAACGGGUAGAAAUCGUAUCUAGAGUGUAAAGGCAUAAGGAAGCUUGACUGUGAGACCUACAAGUCGAGCAGGGACGAAAGUCGGUCUUAGUGAUCUGACGGUGCUGAGUGGAAAGGCCGUCACUCAACGGAUAAAAGUUACUCUAGGAUAACAGGCUGAUCUCCCCCAAGAGUUCACAUCGACGGGGAGGUUUGGCACCUCGAUGUCGGCUCAUCGCAUCCUGGGGCGGUAGUACGUCCCAAGGGUUGGGCUGUUCGCCCAUGAAAGCGGUACGCGAGCUGGGUUCAGAACGUCGUGAGACAGUUCGGUCCAUAUCCGGUGUAGGCGUUAGAAUAUUGAGAGGAGCCUUCUUUAGUACGAGAGGACCGAGAAGGACAUACCUCUGGUGUACCAGUUAUCGUGCCAACGGUAAACGCUGGGUAGCUAUGUAUGGAGAGGAUAACCGCUGAAAGCAUCUAAGUGGGAAGCCCACCUCAAGAUAAGUAUUCUC
RNAcentral lists this ribosomal RNA (1241 nucleotides) under metagenome. Its description in RNAcentral is "bacterial LSU rRNA". It matches the Rfam family "Bacterial large subunit ribosomal RNA", at positions 1564 to 2815 of the family's 2925-position model. The record is from RNAcentral.